Molecule: non-coding RNA, 5375 nt
Organism: Procambarus clarkii (red swamp crayfish)
Lineage: Eukaryota; Metazoa; Arthropoda; Malacostraca; Decapoda; Cambaridae
Source: RefSeq, a predicted model, not a curated record
UUUUUCUUAAUUUUUAAACGUUUAAUUUUUUUUUAUUAAAAUAGAGACAUUAAAUACGUAUGACACAAUUGUUUUUAAUUUGAACAAAAACUAACUUGGAGACGUAAAUAUACUUAUUAUUGUUUAAUAUUAGCAAACGUAACUAACAGGUAAUAUGCUCCAGGUAACUUAUGCAAAGUAUCACCUAUAUUGGACAGUAACUCAUGCAAUCACUGAAAUAUAAUUACCGUAAAUAUUCACAAAGUACCAUUAAUAAAUCAGCCCAUCUUCCUGAUUUAGUAGUUCUUAUAGUUACGAUAAGGACCAUAAUUUAUAUGCCGACGUACAACUAAAUUAGAACAUAGAAAUCCGAACUAUUGACUUGGAAAAAACUAAUUUUACUUGUGCUCCUUUGACAAACAAAACUAACCUAACCUUCCCUAGGCCCUUAUACACGAUAUCUGAGGCCUAAUAUAGUACAUAUGUGUACUAUACUAGGCCUAGGAAUAUUUGAGUUUGUGUUUUACCAUCAUUUAUUUUAAAAGAAUUCAUUACUAAUCAGUAUACUACUAUCAAAAAACUAAGAACGUACGAAUUCUGACUAUUAACGAUCGUCACAAUAGUUACUAUCUAAACAGUAGGAUGGGUUGCUAUUAAAAACUGUCUAUUAUGCCCGAAACGCUUUGCGUAAUAGUGGCUUUAGGCAUUGUAUGUACUAGCUAUACCUAUAAGUCAAACAAUCCUUGUAAAUAUUUAUUGUAUGUAUGUACCUUACCUAAAUAAAAUUGUAUUGUAUUGUAUUGUAUUGUAUUGUAUUAGGUUUGCCGUUUCUUGCCUAUUAGGCCAAAGUGUAAGGUUGUGCUUAAACACCACAAUGCACUCACAACCAGCCGUCUCCUCUACUCCGUUAAGGCACGAAAAAGAUCUUGAACUUCAAGUGGAAUAACACACCAGGUACAGACGACCAGGAGCCAGACAUAACACACCAGGUACAGUCGACCAGGAGCCAGACAUAACACACCAGGUACAGACGACCAGGAGCCAGACAUAACACACCAGGUACAGACGACCAGGAGCCAGACAUAACACACCAGGUACAGACGACCAGGAGCCAGACAUAACACACCAGGUACAGACGACCAGGAGCCAGACAUAACACACCAGGUACAGACGACCAGGAGCCAGACAUAACACACCAGGUACAGACGACCAGGAGCCAGACAUAACACACCAGGUACAGACGACCAGGAGCCAGACAUAACACACCAGGUACAGACGACCAGGAGCCAGACAUAACACACCAGGUACAGUCGACCAGGAGCCAGACAUAACACACCAGGUACAGUCGACCAGGAGCCAGACAUAACACACCAGGUACAGACGACCAGGAGCCAGACAUAACACACCAGGUACAGACGACCAGUAGCCAGACAUAACACACCAGGUACAGUCGACCAGGAGCCAGACAUAACACACCAGGUACAGACGACCAGGAGCCAGACAUAACACACCAGGUACAGACGACCAGGAGCCAGACAUAACACACCAGAUACAGACGACCAGGAGCCAGACAUAACACACCAGGUACAGACGACCAGGAGCCAGACAUAACACACCAGGUACAGUCGACCAGGAGCCAGACAUAACACACCAGGUACAGUCGACCAGGAGCCAGACAUAACACACCAGGUACAGUCGACCAGGAGCCAGACAUAACACACCAGGUACAGACGACCAGGAGCCAGACAUAACACACCAGGUACAGUCGACCAGGAGCCAGACAUAACACACCAGGUACAGUCGACCAGGAGCCAGACAUAACACUAGGUACAGUCGACCAGGAGCCAGACAUAACACACCAGGUACAGUCGACCAGGAGCCAGACAUAACACACCAGGUACAGUCGACCAGGAGCCAGACAUAACACACCAGGUACAGUCGACCAGGAGCCAGACAUAACACACCAGGUACAGUCGACCAGGAGCCAGACAUAACACACCAGGUACAGUCGACCAGGAGCCAGACAUAACACACCAGGUACAGACGACCAGGAGCCAGACAUAACACACCAGGUACAGACGACCAGGAGCCAGACAUAACACACCAGGUACAGACGACCAGGAGCCAGACAUAACACACCAGGUACAGUCGACCAGGAGCCAGACAUAACACACCAGGUACAGACGACCAGGAGCCAGACAUAACACACCAGGUACAGACGACCAGGAGCCAGACAUAACACACCAGAUACAGACGACCAGGAGCCAGACAUAACACACCAGGUACAGACGACCAGGAGCCAGACAUAACACACCAGGUACAGACGACCAGGAGCCAGACAUAACACACCAGGUACAGUCGACCAGGAGCCAGACAUAACACACCAGGUACAGUCGACCAGGAGCCAGACAUAACACACCAGGUUCAGACGACCAGGAGCCAGACAUAACACACCAGGUACAGUCGACCAGGAGCCAGACAUAACACACCAGGUACAGUCGACCAGGAGCCAGACAUAACACACCAGGUACAGUCGACCAGGAGCCAGACAUAACACACCAGGUACACACGGGUAAGCGCUCAUGUAUUCACGUCAACAUCCCUGCCCUACACCCCCCACUGUUCAAUUACAAUUGAACAGUGAUUCAAUUGUAAUUGAUUGUAAUUGUAAUUGUAAUUACAGGUACAAUUAAUCAGUAAAGACAAACUGAAAUACUACGAAGUUCAGAGAUGAUGACGAUGAGAAUUGGUUUUGUCGGGGGGACAGUAAGACACACACACACACACACACACACACACACACACACACACACACACACACACACACACACACACACACAUCAGGGAAUGACGUUUUACAUUAUAGAAAGACAAAAAUAAAAGUAACAUUAAAAUCUUGCAGCGUUUAAUUAUUAAGAUAUUGCAAAAUCAGGCGGGCGGGGGGUACACUGGCACAGUGCCAUGAGAUACUCGAUUCAUUUAUGGCAACUCCAACCCGACUAUGUUGCGCAUGCACCCAUCCUCAGACAGACAGAUAUUCUAAUUUAUAUAGAUAUAGAUACUUGAGCGGGUACCCGACGUUGGUCGGCUGAGGCCAUAUCUUCAUUACACACUAUUAUCACUGUAACCAUCUUUAUUACAUAACCAACAUUACUAUAUUCACAAUUGCUUCACACUAUCUUCACUGUAACUACCUAAUUACAUAUUAUCUUCUUUAAUGUAAUGAUGUACACAACCUGGUGAAAGAUGUACACUACCUGCUGAAUGAAAUAUUAUUAUCCACUAUAGUGUGGUUGACUGAAAAAAAUAUAUAUAUCAAUAUAAAUAUUCUAAUCCCACGCCCAUCGCAGCAAUCAAUCACCUUGACUCAUCCUGAUCCAUAAAAUACUGGUUGUUAAUUGAUGAAAAUGUUAAAUUUAAAUCAACAUUGCAAAAUACAGACACCCGAGACAUUUUAAAAUUACUACCAUAUAAUCAACAUACAGUUCCUUUCUAACGAGAAGUUAUUACUAUUACUACAAAAUCUGAAAUUCUGCUACUGGAGUACAAGGGCUGUGUUGCUGGUGACAUAUUUGUCCUGUACACUGUGUAGGCUUCAUUAUAAAGAGUUAAAUAUUUCCCUUAUUUAACAUUAGCCAUUUAAAAGGUAUACGUUUGAGAACCGAGACGCGUAUGUCCAUCAACGAAACAGUGUGCGUUGAUGUAUAUGAAAACACUAUUUAAGGAAUGGUGUGCAGUGUUGGACCCCCAGCUCCUCCAUAUUUGUCAACAUGCUUAUAGUAUUCAUCAUGAAUCUGUGUACAAAUAGUGGCAUUGUAUCGCUCUAGCAGUGCUAGCUGGAAUGCCUCACAGGCGCUCUAGCACCUUAUCUCAGGACCAACUUGCAGUACAAAGACAAACAAUUAUCACCUGAGUACCACAGUCGAGCCCACUUAGCAGCCUCCAAGUCUCACGCCUUUUUCAUAAACUUAAACUUUUAAUUGACCACUUUUACAAGGGCUUGAACUCUUAAGACUAUGUAAAAUCGUGAACACUAAGAGGUGCUCAGUGAGCGUGUGUGUGUGUGUGUGUGUGUGUGUUAGUACAAACCUUCUACAAUCCAGCAUUAUAUGUGCUUCAUGCCAGGGGUCACUGGCUGGGCGUGUGUGUGUGUGAUCCACUUGUGGCUGCAGGAUCUUCUGUGCCAAAUUAAUGAUCAGGCUCAUGAAAUUUGCUCACAUGCUACAUAGCUCCGAAUUUUGUGUUUAGAGCUUGGUAUGUGGCCUAAUUUAUUUUGAAUUUAUAUAAUGUUUGCUAAUUUCAUUGUCGAUGUAACACACAAAUUCCUAAUGUACAUGCCAUUGUUUUCUAUGAAACUAUGUAGUAAUGUUUGAACAUGACAUAGGCUUCACUUUUACACUCGAGGCCAGAGGUAGUUUGUUCAGAUGAACCUCAUUUUGUAUUGUAUGGUCUUGUUAAAACUAAUUUGAGCCGUGUACUUAAAAGUGUGAUUAAGUUUGUCAUUUUAUUUGCGUAAUAAUUCAGUGUUGCAAGGGCUCAAGUGUUUGUCCAUCUUGCUAGUGUGUUGCUCACACCUUCAGCACUGUGGUUCAUGGGUGAUAUUACAAAACAUAUAAUUUCCAUGGUUUGGGGUGUGGGCGACACACACGGUGACAAUGGCUUAGUGUCAUAAUUCUUGCCAGAUAAAUUAAACAUGUUUAAAGAUUACAAUUGAUCACAACCUAGUCGAGCUCACUGUACGUGAUCCACAUUUGUCUCGUCUACGACACAUCACUUGGGCCUGCGUGCCGUAUCUCUUUUUAUCAAGUCAGUGCUGGCCUACAAUAUAUGGCCAAACACACUGAAAUGGCCAAGGCCAGUGCAGCGUUGCCAUAUGAUCAUGUGAAGCACCAGUGAGCCGAGGUAGCAACUGGCCUUCACGUAGCCUCGUGAGCGGCCGCUGCAGCACCCUCCGCCACGGUGGGUGGACGCCCACAUUAGUACAAAGAUUACUUGGGAGUGCCCCAAAUAGACAAUCCUGCAUGACCCUCUAUCCUUUCCUAUUGAGGGUCGUGGGAUUUGUCCUUCCCUACUGCUCCUCUCCAGACAUUUAGUAAAAAGUCCACAAGUUAACAGACAAGUGUAUGUCAAGGAGAAGGUCAAGCAGCUGCUUUUGUAAUGAAAAUAAAUCGGUAUUUUUUGGCUAGAGGGAGAUGGUGGGUGGACAGGCCGGAGGCCCAGGGUGAAAGUGGUGAUAAUAUUGUAGUGUUUUGGUAGCCCGGACUCUGCCUGUCUACCCACAACCUCACUCAUAUUUCAGCAUUUUUUUAUGUAGACUUUUAAUGUUCCAGUCAACCUCUUAUUGUUGCUCCCAAAUGUAAUGUCAUAUAUGAUUAUAAUAAACAAUAUGUAGUAAA